UUCUGAACUUUGACAGCCCAUGUCUAAAAGGCAUCUUUUUUUUACCUACAGACCAUCUCUGUCAAAAUCCAGCUCUGCCACGUGCUAUUAAAAGACUGGUGGGAACUGACUUCUAUUUUCCAUAUUCAAAAGGAAUCUACUCAGUCAAUUGGAUUACAACCCAUGCUACUACCCAAAGCAAAAGGUGUAAGUUGGAGCUCAGUGAAAAGAGUGGACAUUUUCAACAGAUGGAGUCCAAGAACCAGUAAGGCAUGACAAAGUGUCUGCAGAAUGACUGAUUUCAUGGAAAUGGCUCUUGACAUGAAGAGCAUCAUGUACUGACUUUGAGGUGUAGAGACCUGCUGCUUCUCCUGACCUCCUGUGGACUGGGGCUCGCUGCCUAAGCUGCUCCCCCACUUCAGGACUGAAUGGCCAGAGCUCAGCUCACCUUAUCAGAGAAGACAUUUGUGAAAUGUAAGUAAAGGUUUUCUAUGCUCUUCAUGAGACACUGGAACACUUGUUCUUUGAGAAAGG
This 513-nucleotide long non-coding RNA is filed under the name Coturnix japonica (Japanese quail). Its description in RNAcentral is "lncRNA (ENSCJPG00005021415.1)". Lineage: Eukaryota; Metazoa; Chordata; Aves; Galliformes; Phasianidae. The record is from RNAcentral.